UUUAAAAAUUAACAAUAAUAGUUAAACUAUGCACAACAAUAAACACAAAUAAAAUAUAUUAAAUGGUGAUUAUAAGUUGAUGUUGAAAUUCAACACUCCCCUCAUCACCAACUUAUUUUAAAAUUAACGUGUCAUUUGAAAUAAGGGCUAAUUUAAACACAGAUAAAAACAUAGGGGUUUAUUUGGGUACAACAAAAGUAAACUAGUUCAAGGACUCUUUUAACAAUUUAACCAUUUGCUGAACAUUGUCCCAUUGGAAGACCUUGACUUUUGUGGGUAAAAUAUACAAAUAAAGAAGACUGUCAUUUCCUGGAAAGUGUGAAAGUGACAAUUUUCUUGACUCAGAUAAUUAGCUAAUCUCCUCCACUCGUUGCCUUUGUUAAAUCUCAUUUUCUCAUUGUCAUUUAAUUCUAGAAUACCAAAGCUCCCUUUGUGUACUUUCCUCUCUCCUUCCCAUCUUCUUCUGGUCAAAUGAUGCGUUAAGUUUUCUUAACCUUUGAGGUGAAGACACAUGCCUUAACUCAAAAUUUAUUUUCUCAUAGGUUCUAGUAUGAUAAAAUUAUCGUGACUUUAAUAAAAUUAGAAUUUAGUUGAGAAAAUAAUUUAAUUGAAUGAAUGAAUUAAAUUUAUUUUAAUUAAUUAUAUAAAUAAUAUUUUUACAAUGAAAACUUGAUAUUGGGUUGGAUAAUUAAAUGAGUUGAUUUAAGUUUAUAUAGACUUGAUCAUGGGUCGAGCCGGUGCAAAAUUUUAGGCCCAUUUUCUAAGCCCGGCCUGACCUACCCGUAUUAAUUUCUUUAGAUUGUUUUUAUGUAAAGAUAAAUUUAAAAAAUAUAAUACAUCAAAUACACUAAAAAUAUUAAAAUAAAUGUUUCUCAAUAAAUUAAAAAUAUAUUUUUAAAAUAAAUAUUUAUACUUAAAUAAUACUAAUACAGUUGCAACUCAACAAUCAAAUGUUUUUAAAUAGUAGCAAAAUUAACAAUAAAACAAAAAAUUCAAUAUCCAAACAAUAACAAUAAAAUAUUAACAAUACGAUAAUAAAAUUGUAACGAAACAACAAUAUAACAGCAGCAAACAACAACAGAAAAGAAAUAGUCAAAUUCGAGCUGGGUCAAAAUAUCUAGCCCAAGACCCGAGCUAUUUAGGAAAUGUGCCAAUAUUGGUAAGUUGAAUAAUAUUUUACUCAACAUUUACGUUCUAACACAUAAACUAUUAUUUUCCAGCUUUUAAAUUAAUUGCCAAUGAUAGAAAUAUGAAGUGCUUUAAUUAAUUAAAACCAACCAGAAUCACAUGCUCUACAAAUAGCUUGUGAUUUAUUCUUUGGUGCAUUAUCAACUUACCUUUUUCCUUAUGCAUUUUACAAGCUAUAUGUACGGUUGUGAUGCGCAACUUUUGUGGAACUUCCAUGAAAAUUCAGCCCAGGGGUGGUAGCUGCUUUGAUUUAUCCAAAUUCCUACAUAUGUAGCUUCGAGGAAGCAAAGAAGGUUUAUUAGUCAUUUUGAAAUUGGUGUCAAAAGCAAAAGCAACCCUUUUUUUUUCCUCAGCCAAUAAAAAUAUUUUAUUAAUAAGUCUUUAUCACCUCACCAAAAAAAAAGUGAGUUUCCAUGCUUUGGUGCAUUAUCAACUUUUACUUGUCCUUAUGCAUUUUGGAACAAUAUGUAUGACUGUAAUAUGCAGAUUUUCUUUGUAAAUUCAGCGAAAAAACAAAAGAAAAAAGGCGAAGAUUCUUGACAUCUUUGUAGCAUAUUUUUUUUGCAAUCAAUGAAUUAAAAUAAGACAAUUUUUAAUCUCACUCGUGGCAUUAAAAUAAAAGCUCCACUACAAAUGCUGGUGUACGACCUAUUUUUCACAUUUAUUAAAAGAGGAUUACAUUUUUAAUUUGAUUCUAAAUAGGGCCUUAUUUUAUAUUAUUAUAAUAGUCCAAACUAAUUUGGGCAUCAAUAUUUUGUGCUUUGAAAUUUACUUAAUAUCCAUCAACUAGAUUUGGUUACAAAAUCAACUUGUAACUUUUUUUUUCCUAUAGAUGAUUUGCUUAGACUAAUAUACUAAAUAAGUCAUAAGCUUUAUUCAAUUAAGCUCUUAAAAUUUUAUGGGUAAAUUAUCUCGUUAGUUAUUUUAAAUAAGGGUCAUUCCUAUUUUGGUUGCUCUAAUAUUUUUGUUAAUUUGGUAAUCCAAAAGGGAAAUUGAUCACUCUUCUGUAAAACGAUAAUGGAAUAUUGAUUGUGUAUUUCCAUAUUAGUCAUGCUGAAAUUUUUAUGAUGGAAGCAAUUUUUGUUUUAAAAAUUCACGUCAGUAUUUCAAUUGGAAUAAUUAAUAGUAAUAUUUACUUGGAUUAAUUGAUGAUAUUAUUGUAGUAAAGGAUCAAAUUAUUCCAUUUUAAAGUAUAAAAAUAAAAAUAUAAAUUUAGGAAUAAUAAUAGGACCAAAACAAAAUUUUAAUUGUAAGGACUAAAUUAUAAAAUCUAGAAAUUUUAGAAAAGGGACUGUUUUGUAAAAUUGUACAAAAAGAGGUUUAGAACUGAACUGCAGAAUAAUAAAAUCUAUUUUUGAGGAAUUAAAUUGCAGAAUAGUAGAAUUUUAGAUUCCAGGGACUAAUUCGUAAAAAUAUAAAAUUGAAAUAUGAGGGACUAUUUUCUUCGACAGUGAAGAGACCUUUCCUUUUGUUGCUCUAAAAGCUUCUCCUUUUUGUUUCUUCGACAGUGAAGAUAGUCAAUAUAGUCUUAUUAGUUUGGAAAAUGUCUUAUGGAAAAAAAAAUUGGUAAGAUAUUUUCCUUGAAAAUGUCUUGAUUUUACAUUUUUUUUCAAGAAUGAUUUCCUUUAGUAAUUCAUUUUCCACCAAAUAUAGACGGUAAAACAAUGAAAAUAUUUUACAUACAAACAAAUAGACCAUUAAUUAGAAAAUCGAUUCGAUUCUAUAUUUAAAAUAAAUGUUGGCAAGCAUAUUUGUUGGUAAAAAAUCUAUUAGACUCUCUGAUCAAUUUUGGCAUUAAGCAAAUUGGAGUCGCUUAAAAAAAUCGAAGCAAUUUAAAUCCCAUCAGUUUCUACAGUGAGUAAUUAAGGAUAAUUAAUCACAACAUUGAUGUUUUCCAUCAAAUGUAAAUAAUUUUAAUUGGUAUAAUAACAAAUUUACCCCUCAAAGUUUACAAUUAUAUCACUUGUCUUGAUUUAACAAAUUUAGCCAGCAAUAUUUGUGUAAAUGUUUAUACUAAACUUGUUGAAUUUUCAGAAUUAAGACCAAAUUGACAAAAAUGCAAACAUGGCUAAAUUUUUUGUUAUAUCAAUCAAAAUUAUGUACAAUUGACGAAAAAUAUUAAUGUCGUGAAUAAUUGUUCUUUGUUGCUCACUUUUGAAAUUAAGAAUGAUUAAAUUGCUUUGAUUUUUUUGAGAGGGACUAAUUUAUUCAAUUUCAAAAUUGAUAGAGAUUGGAGAUAUAUUUUUACGCAAACACACCUUACCUUUGUUCAGAAGAAAGGACUAAACAGGAAACCCCCAAAAGCACAAAGAAAAUCUAUCAUGGUUUCACCUAAGAAAAAUAGAAAUACAACAUCCUUCCUUCCAAAGACUUUUCAUUUAGGGGAAAAAAGUGGCGAUUAUUCUUGAGAAAGUUGUAGGAAAUUUAAGUUGAAUUCACCUAAAAUUGUCCAAUUAUUCUUAAGAAAGUUAUACCAAAUUUCAGUUCAAUCGACCCAAAUGACAAAGUGUGUAAAAGUCAAUAUUUUUUGUUAGAAAAUUUAUAAGAAAUUUUAUCACAACCCAAAACGAAAUUCAAGAAUGGUGACAAAUUUUUUUUUUGAAGUUAUACGUUUGAUUACAAAAUCAAUUAAUAUUUACUUUUUGUAGAGAUGAUUUAUCGCAUUAUUUAAAUAAUCUCUUGUACUUUUAUCAUACCCCAAAUAAGCCUUUAAAGUCUAAAUAACCCUCAAGUUUUUUACCUGUAUCUAGAUAAGUUUUAGCAUUCAAUUUAUAGGAAAAUAUUUAGUAUAUUGAUAAUAGAGGUUUUAGACUUCACAACUUGACAAAUUUUUAUCAGUAAAAACUCAUCGGCUAUGCUUCACCCUUUCAAUCUCAUUCCCAUUUAACUGACUCACUUUUUCUUCUUACCAUUACAAAAAUAGAAGCAAAAGCAAAGCUCCCUCAGUUUAUUUUGUUCUCUUUUCCUCAAUCUCACAAUCCACUAUCUGUUUUGCCCUUUGCUCGAUUUCGUAAUCUUCUUCGGGUUUUGCCUAUCGAGAAGAUGAGUGAAUGUUAGAGUAUAGAUAAAGACUCUAUUAGUUUAUUAGUUGUUAGUCUGUUAUACAAGCAGUUAUGCUGUUAACUGAAAUUGUUAGUAGCAAUUACUCAUACACAUAUUAUCAAUACUAUUGUUAUACUGGUUAAAUUCAAGAUAAUAAUACAAAAAUCAUUCUCUGCAUAUUCUAUUUUUCUUUCAACUUAAUGUAGAUAUUAACAUAAAGCAAGGUUGUGCCGUAUGCCUACUUUUUUAUUGUCUUACAUUAUAGAUGUGCUUUUUACUUGCAGAGUUUAAAGCAAGGUAGUAUAAGUCAGCCAAAACCUGGGGAUUAAGCUUUGACUUUUUAAAUAUGCUACUAUGAAGGGAAUGAAGAUGGCAGUGAUCGGUGUAAGAAAAACAGAUGAGGAAACAGAGAGUCAAGAGGGAAUUAAUGGCAGAUCUUUGGAAAGGCCAUUAUGCUUGGAAUUUUAGCUAUUCAAAAAGAGAGGGAAUGAAGAUGGCAGUGAUCGGCGUAAGAAAAACAGAUGAGGAAAUAGAAAGUCAAGAGGGAAUUAAUGGCAGAUCUUUGGAAAGGCCAUUAUGCUUGGAAUUUUAGCUAUACAAAAAAGAGAGGAAUAAGUAAGCUUCUAAUUUCUUCUACUGAAUUAUUGUCAUAUAUUUGUGGUUAAGCUGAGAUAUUGAGGCUUUAUUGCAACCUGUUAACAGAUUUGGCUUGUUGAUAUCAUUCAACUCUGAUAAUUUUAUAUUGCAUUAUUUACAGAAAUCUGUAGGUGUUUAGCUUAGCUGAACAUGUUAUGCGGCUGCAAUGUGGUGUUUGUGUCUUGAAACAAGCGAUGCGAUUUUCUAUAGCCAUUUGCUGCGUACAGUAAGUCUUCGUUGUGAAUUUACAGUCACUGUUUUGGGAGAAUGAUGUUAAGGGGGUGCUGGAACUCCAGCAAUCGUAAAACGUGGCUGUGAUUCGAGCUAUUAUACUGUGCUUGAAGCUUCGAACUAGAGCAUGACAGUUUCAUUGCGUAUCAAUUCAACCUCAGAUUCUUUGGGGGACGUAUCCGAGCUAAUUAAUUGGUCCAUCAAGUGAAAGAUAUCGAUUUUUGAAAAUGUCUUGCUAAGGCAGCGGCCAAGGAUGGGGUGGAUUGGAUUUUAAUGUUUAUGGAAUGGUAUUUAUUGGCAUUAUACAUUAUGUUGUACUGUUGUUUUUUGUUUACUGUGUUGCUUGUAAGCUGUAACUUUUACACUUGGUUUCCUUUAUUUUAUAUGAUCUUCAAACGAUGUUUAAUCAAAAAUUUUCCACUUGAUUGUAGACUUCAUUGUGUGAAACUUAAUCAAUUUCAUUAGAUUGUAAAAUUAGGUAGUCUUAAGAGUAUAUUGUAAUUUGAUAUUGCUAAUUUUACAUAAAGGUCCAUGGAUAAAUUAUACAUUGCGAAUUCUACAAAUGUUU
This 5665-nucleotide long non-coding RNA is filed under the name Gossypium barbadense (sea-island cotton). Its description in RNAcentral is "long non-coding RNA (GBAR_LNC020387)". The record is from RNAcentral. Lineage: Eukaryota; Viridiplantae; Streptophyta; Magnoliopsida; Malvales; Malvaceae.